This 394-nucleotide long non-coding RNA is filed under the name Populus tremula. Its description in RNAcentral is "long non-coding RNA (PTRE_LNC000955)". Lineage: Eukaryota; Viridiplantae; Streptophyta; Magnoliopsida; Malpighiales; Salicaceae. The record is from RNAcentral.
UUCAGUUUUGCUUCUGCAUUAUUGAUGCUGUAGGUUCCUCCCUUGCUCGGAUUGUUUUACUGCUCUGUUGGGUUGCUGCAACUGUUCUUGGAUCAAAGGGCACCUUCGAAGAAGGUUCCAGAAGGAAGCCUAGAGAAAACGGCAAUUGCGUUAGUGUAAGUACCUACCGGUUAAUUUCUUAUACUGGUAACACAAAAAAAAGAAAAAAAUAUAUAUGUAUACAUGAAAGAAAGACAUGUUGUCUUACAUCUCCCAACUUGUUUAACACAGAGCACUGUUGCUAUUCAUCGAAUUGAGUGCUGAAAUGUAUAGAGCUGGAAUAGCAGACAACAUCGAGGCUUACAUAUUAUUUGCAUUAGCAGAAUUGAUAUGGUUUUCCCUGGACAGAACAUGG